This 371-nucleotide ribosomal RNA is filed under the name uncultured bacterium. Its description in RNAcentral is "bacterial SSU rRNA". It matches the Rfam family "Bacterial small subunit ribosomal RNA", at positions 28 to 389 of the family's 1533-position model. The record is from RNAcentral.
GACGAACGCUGGCGGCGUGCUUAACACAUGCAAGUCGAGCGGUAAGGCCCUUUCGGGGGUACGACGAGCGGCGAACGGGUGAGUAACACGUGGGUGACCUCGCCCUCCAGCUCUGGGAGUAAAGCCUCGGGAAACCGGGGUACCGUAAUAACCGGACUAUGACUCCAUGACGCAUGUUGUGGGGUGGAAAGCCUUGUGCGGCUGAGGAUGGGCCCGCGGCCUAUCAGCUUGUUGGUGGGGUGAUGGCCUACCAAGGCGACGACGGGUAGCCGGCCUGAGAGGCGACCGGCCACACUGGGACUGAGACACGGCCCAGACUCCUACGGGAGGCAGCAGUGGGGAAUCUUGCGCAAUGGGCGAAAGCCUGACGC